RNAcentral lists this ribosomal RNA (200 nucleotides) under uncultured bacterium. RNAcentral describes it as "partial 16S ribosomal RNA". It matches the Rfam family "Bacterial small subunit ribosomal RNA", at positions 8 to 204 of the family's 1533-position model. The record is from RNAcentral.
AGAGUUUGAUCCUGGCUCAGGAUGAACGCUGGCGGCGUGCCUAACACAUGCAAGUCGAGCGGAGUUAGUUCCUUCGGGAGCUAACUUAGCGGCGGACGGGUGAGUAACACGUGGGUAACCUGCCCUUGACUGGGGAAUAACUGGUAGAAAUACCAGCUAAAACCUCAUAAGCUAACGGAAUGGCAUCAUUCAGUUAGAAA